GCCCCAGUGGCCUAAUGGAUAAGGCACUGGCCUCCUAAGCCAGUGAUUGUGGGUUUCAAGUCCCAUCUGGGGUG
Molecule: non-coding RNA, 74 nt
Organism: Salmo salar (Atlantic salmon)
Lineage: Eukaryota; Metazoa; Chordata; Actinopteri; Salmoniformes; Salmonidae
Source: the annotation of a RefSeq genome assembly